UUGUGUCGCGCGGGGCCUGGCGCAGAGGCGGUAGCGGCGGCGGGAGGGUCCCGGGCCGCAUUGUGGCGGCGGCGGCCGCAGCCGCUGGGCCUGCAGCCCCCGCGCCCGGCUCCCGAGGGGGCGGCGCCGCCCAGGGACGCGGGGCCCGCCGGCCGGAUGCUCCCGGGGGGCCGGGUGCCGCAGCGGGCGGGGAUGCGGUGGCACCACCUGCCAGUGGCUUCUCUGAGUGCAUCCAAGGGUCUUUUCCUUUAUGCCGCGACACGGACGCGCGGCUCCAUCUCCUUCACCGCAGCGAGAGGGGUCUCCCAGGGCUCCGGGCUGGGGUCCGGGAAGCCUGGGCGCGAGGUCUGCGCUAGGUCCUUUUGUUGUGGCAGGGAGGGGGCGGUCGCCGCCCUGGGGUGCACCCUGUGCCCCUGGGCGCUGGGGUCCACGGCCGCAGUCCGCUACCAGGCUGCCACCGUUUGCGAAAGUUUCGGGGUCUUCUCCCCCCACCCCAUCCGACGUCUGUUCCAGACCUUUAGGAAAUUUGCCCAGCGGCCCAGGAAUCAUCCUUAGAAGAGGAGAAAAAAUUGGAACUAGGAGGCCCUAAUCACUUAGAAGAAGGGUGGAAAAAAAUCAUUUCCAGAGAAUGCUGGACAGCCCAUUUGGGUACCAGCCAGAAACAUCAAGCCUGCAACUGACAGUCAACCAGAACCAGCGAACAAGACUGAAUCUGCCCUGUUAGCGGAUGCACCUGCUACCAACUGUCAAGCUGCUGCCCUAUCAUCAUACCCUGACGAAUUGCCCAUAGCCACAUCCGCUACUGUUUUAUACCCACUAGCUCUGGUCAGCCACUCAAACGAUCCACAGCCUGUGCGCGGUCAUGCCAUUCCUGAUUACCAUUGUUGCUCAUUCCUACCCCCAUCUAAGCAAGCACUCCUGUGGUCUCCCGUUUUGAGGGCUGGUUAGUCAACGACGGGUAAGAUCCCCUGGGGGACAACCUAAGACAGGCACAGCCACGUAUGGAGACCACAUGGAAACGGGGUCAACAAUGGUAUGGCCAAAGAUCAUGCCUCCCGUUGGUCAAAAAUAAAUGAAAAAGGGGAAAUGUGGUGGAAUGAGAAGGCCAUGCCAAGAUGGCCCCUGGCAAGUGAGCAUCAGUUACUCAGGAAUGGCUUUGAAACCCACCUGGCAACAGAGCCUGCCUGGCAACAGGCAGUGAUUGGUUAGGGCAUAAACUGCCCCUUGACCGGAUUGGCUGCCUUGGCUAUAUAAGCUGCUGUACCAACUGAAAUAAAUGAGUCUGCAAGCUGCUUGCCUCUGGCCUGCUUUCACUUGACUCCCGGGGUCUGUGUGGUGACUCCAUGCCUCUUGCCCCCAUUGCGCUCCUCCUCUCAUAACGAAUCCAUAGCAAUACCUUUUUAAAGUGCUUUUUUUGUUUGUUUGUUUUUUUACAAUACAAGAAGGAUCUUGAAAAUUUAGGGUUUUUCCCCCUCUUAUUCUGGAGAUGAGGAAACCCAGGCUAAGAGAAGUAAAUUGACAUAUCUAUGGAAGGUAGAAUAAUGGCCUCUGUUCAGCAAGUAUUUUGAACCCUUGGUUUUAUAUAAAAUAUGUAAAGACAUUCUCAAAUAUGAAAACUGGUGAGAUCUUUUGGGAUUGCAGGAAGUAGCAAACAGCUUAAAAAAGAUAUCUCAGAACUUAAUACCAAGUUUCUGAAAGAUAAUAAAACUGUUAUCUUGUUUGUACACCAUAGGGAUAAAUAAGGAGCAGUUUAAUGAAGACUCAACUAUUUCCAAGUCAAAUAAACAUUUUAAUUUGCUAAGACUUGCUUAUUUGAGCUCAGAACUUGAAAAGAAAGGUGACUGAAUUUGUAUCAGGGGAUGGCUUUUUAAUGUCAAUUUCAGUGCUAAAAGGCGUUGAGCACUUGGUGAGUUACAGUAGUAACUGAAAGCAAUCACUAGUAGCCCCAGUUUAGUGGAUGAGUUCACUCCCUUCCUCUUUAUACUGAUAGUGUUACAGUAUGGUUAUAUUUUGCUUCCUUUGGCUUUGAUUUCACAUUGGUAGCUUAAAUCUUUUCUCUUGGAGGGAAUGGUCAACACGAAGUGUUUUCUAGUGGAAAUUUAUCUUAAUAAUGUGCAAAUUAAAGCACAUGUAUCUUGGGUCUUAAUUUAUAUUAAUAUUUAUUGAUUAUUAUGAUUAAUAUUUUAGUAACUUGGAUGAAGACAUUGCUAAUACUUCUUAUGAAAUAAAGGCAAAAAGUUUGAAAAAUUUAGAUCCGAAAUGAUAACUGUGAGCUAUAACUAUGGCAGUAACAAAGUUGUAGAAUAGAUUAAAUUAGUUUUAUUCAUCAGUGGGGAAAAGAUCUUUCAGGUGACUAAAGCCUUAAUUAAGCGAAGAGUGAGCGGAGAGUCUGAUCUGGGUACCAGAACUGCUGGGGAGAUGUGGCGCUGCCUUGAUGAAGGCUUGAUGACUGUUUCUAGAAAAUGGAUUUGGGGCCGGCGCCACGGCUCAAUAGGCUAAUCCUCCACCAGCGGCGCUGGCACACCGGGUUCUAGUCCCAGUUGGGGCGCCGGAUUCUGUCCCGGUUGCCCCUCUUCCAGGCCAGCUCUCUGCUGUGGCCAGGGAGUGCAGUGGAGGAUGGCCCAAGUACUUGGGCCCUGCACCCCAUGGGAGACCAGGAUAAGUACCUGGCUCCUGCCUUUGGAUCAUCGUGGUGCGCCGGCUGCAGCGCGCCGGCCGCGGCAGCCAUUGGAGGGUGAACCAACGGCAAAGGAAGACCUUUCUCUCUGUCUCUUUCUCUCACUGUUCACUCUGCCUGUAAAAAAAAAGAAAGGAAAAAGAAAAUGGAUUUGGACGUAGUCCUAUUGUGUCAUGAGCUGGUGUGAUCACACUUGGAUGCUUGUCUUUGGUCUUACGAUUGCUGCUGGCCAUCCAGAACCCAUCUGAAGGGAGGCUUGUGCUCAGGUCUGAUAUGCUGUGGGAAUCCUUACCGUGUCAUUGCAGUCGGUGACAUUUGCUGCUGCAGGGCAGCAAAUGUGUGUCCUGCACUCACACAGCCCUGCCGCAGGCCCCUCGUUGUCCUUGGUCUUUGCAGGCUCAGCUCCAGAAUAGCUGAACUGAACUCCCCAGGUGCAGGAACUCCAGGCAGUUGUUUUGUUUUUGUGAAGGAUGACAUCCAAAUGAAUAGCUCCAAACUUUUGUUUGUGAAAGGUGAUCCAGUCCAGGAAAUAUUUAGUUGCACAGAGAAAAAAAAAACACAGCAAGCAUAGGAAGCUUCACUUAUUUUAAGGACCACUGUUGUGUUAGCUUUCAAUUGCUGCCUUAAUAAAUUAGCACGCAUUUAGUGGUUUAAAAUACCCAUAUUGUUGCACCAUGGCCUAAGCUGCUGCCUGCAAAGCUUGCAUCCCCUAUGAGCACUGCUCUGCUUCUGAUCCAGCUCCCUGCCAAGGCACCUGGGAAAGCAGGGAAAGAUGACCCAAGUACUUGGGCCCCUAACAUACACAUGGUUGAUCCAUAUAGAGUUUGAGGCUUCUGGCUUCAGCCUGGCCCAGCCCUGGCUGUUGCGGCCAUUUGGGGAGUGAACCAGCUGAUGGAAGAUCUCUUUUUCUCUGACUCUCCCUCCCUCUCUGUUCAGUCUGCCUUCAAACAAAAAAUAAACAAAUACAUAAAUCUUAGCAUACUCAUUAUUAUUUCACAGUUUUCAUGGGCUAGAAGUUUGGGCCUGGUGUGGUUCAGCUGCGUUUCUGCUUGGGGUCUCACAUGUCACAGUCUGGGCAGGAGCAGGGCAGAGCCUCCCUUGUGAGAGGCUCAGCAAGAAUCUGCUUCCAGUCACCACGUUGUCACAAUUCAGUCCUUUGCAGGUGUAGGGCUUAAGGCCUUGUUGCUCUGCUAUCUGUCAGCCAGGAGCCUGUCUUUGCUCCCAGAGCCACCUGUCU
This is a non-coding RNA of Oryctolagus cuniculus (rabbit), 3914 nucleotides long. Lineage: Eukaryota; Metazoa; Chordata; Mammalia; Lagomorpha; Leporidae. The record is from RefSeq and is a predicted model, not a curated record.